RNAcentral lists this ribosomal RNA (75 nucleotides) under Paenibacillus amylolyticus. Its description in RNAcentral is "partial 16S ribosomal RNA". It matches the Rfam family "Bacterial small subunit ribosomal RNA", at positions 1 to 74 of the family's 1533-position model. The record is from RNAcentral. Lineage: Bacteria; Bacillati; Bacillota; Bacilli; Caryophanales; Paenibacillaceae.
UUUAUUGGAGAGUUUGAUCCUGGCUCAGGACGAACGCUGGCGGCAUGCCUAAUACAUGCAAGUCGAGCGGACUUG